RNAcentral lists this ribosomal RNA (441 nucleotides) under uncultured bacterium. Its description in RNAcentral is "partial 16S ribosomal RNA". It matches the Rfam family "Bacterial small subunit ribosomal RNA", at positions 339 to 795 of the family's 1533-position model. The record is from RNAcentral.
CUACGGGAGGCUGCAGUCAAGAAUCUUCCACAAUGGGCGAAAGCCUGAUGGAGCGAUGCCGCGUGCAGGAAGAAGUCCUUCGGGAUGUAAACUGCUUUUAUAAGGGACGAAUUCGUGACGGUACCUUAUGAAUAAGAGGUUGCUAACUCUGUGCCAGCAGCAGCGGUAAUACAGAGACCUCAAGCGUUAUCCGGAAUUACUGGGCGUAAAGCGUCCGCAGGUGGUUUUCUAAGUCAAUGGUCAAAUCCUGGGGCUUAACUUCAGGACUGCUGUUGAUACUGGAAAACUUGAGGCUGGAAGAGGCAAGCGGAACUAUCGGUGUAGUCGUAAUAAGCGCUGAUAUCGAUAGGAACACCAAAGGCGAAGGCAGCUUGCUAGUACGUGCCUGACACUCAUGGACGAAAGCGUGGGUAGCGAAUCGGAUUAGAUACCCCUGUAGUC